Molecule: long non-coding RNA, 226 nt
Organism: Ostrea edulis (European flat oyster)
Lineage: Eukaryota; Metazoa; Mollusca; Bivalvia; Ostreida; Ostreidae
Exons: 2
Source: RefSeq, a predicted model, not a curated record
AUGGAUAAUGGCGGCAGAGAACCAAACAUUUCAUUGAACUGAUCUUUGUUUAUUUUCUGAGGAGAGAAACUCGGUAAUGUGACUCGGACUUUAGGCGGUAAUGUUCUAAAUUCGGAAUUCCUAGAUUUAAUGAGUUGAGUGGAAUAAUGAACCUCCAGAUGUCUAUGUACAUGUGUAUAUUAUAAUUAAACUUCUGUUGCACUCGCGCAUGCGAGAUUACUCUACA